Sebastes umbrosus (honeycomb rockfish) is the source of this 151-nucleotide long non-coding RNA. RefSeq lists it as uncharacterized. The record is from RefSeq and is a predicted model, not a curated record. The transcript has 3 exons. Lineage: Eukaryota; Metazoa; Chordata; Actinopteri; Perciformes; Sebastidae.
AUUAACCCGUGUUGUCUGGCUUGGUUUGAACUGACAAAAGGUGGGUUGAACAUGGGUCAGAUAACCCUGGUUCGACCCUGGUCAUUGGUGUGAAAGAGGUAUUAGAUACAAGUGUGUAUGUUUAUUUCUAUUAUAACAAUACACUUUACAU